CUAGCUGUAUCGCAGAGUAGCUACGUGCGGAAUAGAUAAGCGCUGAAAGCAUCUAAGCGCGAAACUAGUCUCAAGAUGAGUUUUCCUUUAAGGGUCGUAGAAGACUACUACGUUGAUAGGCUACAGAUGUAAAUACAGUAAUGUAUGAGUCGAGUAGUACUAAUUACCCGUAGACUUACCUUUA
This 184-nucleotide ribosomal RNA is filed under the name Flavobacteriales bacterium. RNAcentral's name for it is "partial 23S ribosomal RNA". It matches the Rfam family "Bacterial large subunit ribosomal RNA", at positions 2729 to 2925 of the family's 2925-position model. Lineage: Bacteria; Pseudomonadati; Bacteroidota; Flavobacteriia; Flavobacteriales. The record is from RNAcentral.